Molecule: long non-coding RNA, 398 nt
Organism: Salvia splendens (bonfire salvia)
Lineage: Eukaryota; Viridiplantae; Streptophyta; Magnoliopsida; Lamiales; Lamiaceae
Exons: 2
Source: RefSeq, a predicted model, not a curated record
CCUUUUGAAGAACAUAUUGGGGUUUGAUGAUGCAUUCAACUACAAUGAAGAAUCGUACCUAAAUGAAGCCAUAAAGAGGAGGCAAAAUGUUCGAUUCGGUGCUCCCAAACAUUAGACCCCACGGUCGCAUCACCGCCUGCAGGACGAUCUCGCAGUAUGACGAGGAGGAGCCAAACGCGACACACAACUUGAUGUAUGUGAUCGUAAAGAAAAUCCGAAUGCAAGGAUUCGUCGUCUUCGACUACUUCAUUGUUGAAGGAAUUGAGGCUGCGCCAGCUGCUUUGGUUGGACACUUUUCUGGUCGCAAAGUGGGAAAGCAAGUUGUUCUUGUGGCUCGUGAUUGAUCAAUUUGGUCCUAUCGAUCUUGAUUUAAUGGACGGUGAGGAUUGAUUUGUGUA